AACGAACGCUGGCGGCAGGCCUAACACAUGCAAGUCGAGCGAGGACUUCGGUUCUAGCGGCGGACGGGUGAGUAACGCGUGGGAAUGUGCCCUUCUCUACGGAAUAGCCCUGGGAAACUGGGAGUAAUACCGUAUACGCCCUAUCGGGGAAAGAUUUAUCGCAGAAGGAUCAGACCGCGUUGGAUUAGGUAGUUGGUGGGGUAAUGGCCUACCAAACCGACGAUCCAUAGCUGGAUUGAGAGGAUGAUUCGCCACACUGGGACUGAGACACGGCCCAGACUUCUCCGGGAGGCUGAAGUCGGGAAUCUUACACAACGGGGUCAACCCGGAGCUAGCCAUGCCGCGUGAGUGAUGUAGGCCUUAGGGUCGUAAAUCUCUAUCAGACGGGAAGAUAAUGACGGUACUAGCAGAAGAAGGCCCGGCUAACUCCGUG
Molecule: ribosomal RNA, 433 nt
Filed under: uncultured bacterium
Lineage: Bacteria
Description: partial 16S ribosomal RNA
Rfam family: Bacterial small subunit ribosomal RNA
Source: RNAcentral